Molecule: ribosomal RNA, 448 nt
Filed under: uncultured bacterium
Lineage: Bacteria
Description: SSU rRNA
Rfam family: Bacterial small subunit ribosomal RNA
Source: RNAcentral
AGAGCGAACGCUGGCGGCAGGCUUAACACAUGCAAGUCGAGCGGGCGUAGUAAUACGUCAGCGGCAGACGGGUGAGUAACGCGUGGGAACAUACCUUUUGGUUCGGAACAACACAGGGAAACUUGUGCUAAUACCGGAUAAGCCCUUACGGGGAAAGAUUUAUCGCCGAAAGAUUGGCCCGCGUCUGAUUAGCUAGUUGGUGAGGUAACGGCUCACCAAGGCGACGAUCAGUAGCUGGUCUGAGAGGAUGAUCAGCCACAUUGGGACUGAGACACGGCCCAAACUCCUACGGGAGGCAGCAGUGGGGAAUAUUGGACAAUGGGCGCAAGCCUGAUCCAGCCAUGCCGCGUGAGUGAUGAAGGCCCUAGGGUUGUAAAGCUCUUUUGUGCGGGAAGAUAAUGACGGUACCGCAAGAAUAAGCCCCGGCUAACUCCGUGCCAGCAGCCGC